GGCAGCCGCCCUGCGCGCCGCGUCACUCGGCGCCUUCGGCGAGCACCUACCACUGGCCGCGCGGCGGAGGGGAGAGGCCGCGACCCUUCUCCGGCCGGCGGGCGACGCGCCACCCCUCGGGGCGCCUCGGCCUGGCGCUAAAUUUAAAAAUUUAACUGGCGCAGCUGGCUGGCUCCGGAAACGAAAGUAAUUUCGUCCCGCGGGCCGCCUCCCGGGCUCUGGCGGCGCCUCGGCGCGCCGCGCUCCCCCGAAUAGACCCUUCUCCCGCCAUUUUCCGCCGGCUCGUGGCAGGCCCCGCGCCCCGCGGGUGAGGCCUGCUGCCGCCGGGCCUGCAGGCGUCGGGCUCGCGCCCCCGGAGAAGGCGGCCGGCAUGGACUGCGGGAACGGGGCUCGCGCCCGGCAACACGUGUUCCUGCUGCCAGAAUAUUUAAAAGAUGCUUCAAAGAAGAUGAAAAGUGGACUUAUAUUUGUAAAAUUGGUGAACCCGUGUUCAGGGGAAGGAACCAUUUACUUGUUCAAUAUGUGUCAACAGCAGCUGUUUGAAAUAAAAGUUUUCAAGGAAAAACACCAUUCUUGGUUUAUAAAUCAAUCAGUCCAGUCAGGAGGUCUUCUCCACUUUGCCACACCCAUGGACCCUCUAUUUCUGCUUCUCCACUACCUCAGAAAGACUGGUAAAGAGAGCACAGGAGCUGCAGGACAGGGAAAAUUCCAGCCCCUAAAUCAAGUUGUGGUGGAUGACAUGUUUCCAAAUUGCAUCUUGUUGCUGAAACUUCCUGAUCUUGAGAAGUUACUUCGACAUGUGACAGAGGAGAAAGAAAUAGACAAAAAGAAAUAUUACAAGUACAGCAAAGAGAAGACAAUAAAGUGGCUGGAAAAAAAGGUUCAUCAGACUGUGUCAGCCUUAAAAACCAAUAACAUAAAUGUCAGUGCCCGGGUACAGGCAAAUGCAUUUUUCUCUGGGGACCAGGUUUCCAGUGACAAGGAAGAGGAUUAUAUUCGUUAUGCUCAUGGCCUGAUAUCUGAUUACAUCCCUAAAGAAUUAAGUGAUGACUUAGCGAAAUAUUUAAAGCUUCCAGAAACUUCAGCGUCGUUGCCAAACCCUCCAUCAAAGAGAGCAGAGAAGCCAGUGGUAAACCGCACCUGAUGGCAAACUGCAGAGUCCCUCAGUCCAGGCCUGAUCUCAGACAAGUGAGCGCUGCUCAGAGACAGGGAAAUAAAUACACGCACCAGCUCGUCCAUGAGGCCAUUCUCUUGCCAACAGAAUAAUGAAUGCCUCGAGACUGGAAAGUGCAUGUUGAAGAACUUUCCUCUCUCCCGGCCUUCAAGGUGGCCAACAUGCUUGGAUUUUUUUUUUUUUUUUGGUCUCAUGUCCUGUUUGGAGGUUGUGGCGGCUCUGAAAGCACUCAUUACUUUGACUUCUGAGAAGGACAGAAAAUUUCAAGUGCGUCAGCCUUAGCGGUGGCCAUUUUCAGCAGGCUGUCAAAGGAGCACCAUCCUUUUCCUUUGGGAGGAAUAGCGCUGGGCAGAGGUCAGCUGCUGUAGGGCGUAAGGUCCUUCUAGAAAGUAAAGUUAUCUGAUGAGCCCGUAGAAGCAAAAGAAGAUUACACUAAGUUUAACAGGAAAGAUUUGAAGACUGAAAAG
This is an RNA transcript of Mustela erminea (ermine), 1641 nucleotides long. It is a transcript of the gene named ribonuclease H2 subunit B, with no coding region annotated. The record is from RefSeq and is a predicted model, not a curated record. Lineage: Eukaryota; Metazoa; Chordata; Mammalia; Carnivora; Mustelidae. The transcript has 12 exons.